Molecule: long non-coding RNA, 661 nt
Organism: Hypanus sabinus (Atlantic stingray)
Lineage: Eukaryota; Metazoa; Chordata; Chondrichthyes; Myliobatiformes; Dasyatidae
Exons: 3
Source: RefSeq, a predicted model, not a curated record
GUCGUCUCAUUUUACAUUUCUCCAAAGCUUCAUCAUAUUACUAUGUUGUUGAAAGAUUCAGCAUGAAAGAACUUGAGUCUGAGUGACUACAAGGAACACAAUAGAAUCAAUGAAAGACCUCACCCAACAAGACAGGCAACAACCAAUGUGCAAAUACAACAACUUAACAGAAAACAAUAAUAAUACAUCCUUGGAAACAUCCUCAAAGCAGAAUAAAAAACCCUGAAGAAUGAAUGACAGAAAAAAAGGUGCAAGAACUCCAAAGCCCCCUGCCUUCCAUCCACUUAUUCUAGCAGAAAGCAUCAACUUCCCUACCACCCACCAUGCCAGCAACAGCCUAGCCCCCAAAGAGAGACAUCAACAGUACAUCAAAAACUAGCUUUCACUCCAACAUUUUUGACAUCCCACAGCCUCUCUCACUCCCAUUAACAAGGGAGAGACAGGUAUUGCUUCUUUCACAGUGACAGGGGAGACAACAGUCGCUAUUUUGAUGUUACUGUCAGUUUGAAGCAUUACUUUUUAUUUCGAACUCUUCAACUCAAGAAUUAGCAUAUCGAGUGCCAAGUGCAGAGGCCCCUGACAGCCACUCACACUGUCUUCGAUAGUCCGGCUCCUGCUUUGCUUCAGAAUGCAACACUGGCGAGAAUUCGUGUCCACACGG